This 233-nucleotide ribosomal RNA is filed under the name uncultured bacterium. Its description in RNAcentral is "partial 16S ribosomal RNA". It matches the Rfam family "Bacterial small subunit ribosomal RNA", at positions 100 to 334 of the family's 1533-position model. The record is from RNAcentral.
CGGGACGGGUGAGUAAUGUAUGGGGAUCUGCCUGAUGGCGGGGGAUAACUACUGGAAACGGUAGCUAAUACCGCAUAACGUCGCAAGACCAAAGAGGGGGACCUUAGGGCCUCUUGCCAUCGGAUGUGCCCAGAUGGGAUUAGCUAGUAGGUGGGGUAAUGGCUCACCUAGGCGACGAUCCCUAGCUGGUCUGAGAGGAUGACCAACCACACUGGAACUGAGACACGGUCCAG